CCUACGGGUGGCUGCAGUGAGGAAUAUUGGUCAAUGGCCGGAAGGCUGAACCAGCCAAGCCGCGUGAAGGACGAAGGUGCCAAGCAUUGUAAACUUCUUUUGUCAAGGGACAAAAUCAGGCUCGAGAGCCUGACCGAGGGUACUUGAAGCAAAAGCAUCGGCUAACUCCGUGCCAGCAGCCGCGGUAAUACGGAGGAUGCGAGCGUUAUCCGGAUUGCUUGGGUUUAAAGGGUGCGUAGGCGGGCUGUUAAGUCCGCGGUAAAAGCCCGGGGCGGAACCCCGGCGGGCCGUUGAACCGGGCUGUCGUGAGAGGGCGGGAGGUAUGCGGAAUGCGCAGGGGAGCGGUG
RNAcentral lists this ribosomal RNA (347 nucleotides) under uncultured bacterium. Its description in RNAcentral is "partial 16S ribosomal RNA". It matches the Rfam family "Bacterial small subunit ribosomal RNA", at positions 338 to 683 of the family's 1533-position model. The record is from RNAcentral.